Molecule: ribosomal RNA, 254 nt
Filed under: uncultured bacterium
Lineage: Bacteria
Description: partial 16S ribosomal RNA
Rfam family: Bacterial small subunit ribosomal RNA
Source: RNAcentral
CUUCCUACGGGAGGCAGCAGUGGGGAAUAUUGGGCAAUGGACGCAAGUCUGACCCAGCAACGCCGCGUGAAGGAAGAAGGCUUUCGGGUUGUAAACUUCUUUUAAGGGGGAAGAGUAGAAGACGGUACCCCUUGAAUAAGCCACGGCUAACUACGUGCCAGCAGCCGCAGUAAUACGUAGGUGGCAAGCGUUGUCCGGUUUUACUGGGUGUAAAGGGCGUGCAGCCGGAGAGACAAGUCAGAUGUGACAUCCAC